This 253-nucleotide ribosomal RNA is filed under the name uncultured bacterium. Its description in RNAcentral is "partial 16S ribosomal RNA". It matches the Rfam family "Bacterial small subunit ribosomal RNA", at positions 524 to 776 of the family's 1533-position model. The record is from RNAcentral.
UACAGAGGUGGCAAGCGUUGUUCGGAAUUACUGGGCGUAAAGGGCGCGUAGGCGGCCUGCUAAGUCAGACGUGAAAUCCCCCGGCUUAACCUGGGAACUGCGUCUGAUACUGGAAGGCUUGAGGAUGGGAGAGGGAUGUAGAAUUCCAGGUGUAGCGGUGAAAUGCGUAGAUAUCUGGAGGAAUACCGGUGGCGAAGGCGGCAUCCUGGACCAUUACUGACGCUGAGGCGCGAAAGCUAGGGGAGCAAACGGG